GCAGGAAAGCACAUGGUUUGCUUCGCGGUCAUCUUGGAAAGGUGGUGAAAGGUCUGGAGAGCUGGCAGGCCAGUUCAUCAAAUUCAAGACUGAUGCUGUUGAAAUCAGAAGAGAAUACAUCGCCUUUGCGUGUACCUGAAUGAAGAUCCUGAGAAGCUGGUGAAGGAUUACCUGG
Non-coding RNA from Neolamprologus brichardi, 175 nucleotides. NCBI's taxonomy places the organism in Eukaryota, Metazoa, Chordata, Actinopteri, Cichliformes, Cichlidae. The record is from RefSeq and is a predicted model, not a curated record.